RNAcentral lists this ribosomal RNA (253 nucleotides) under uncultured bacterium. Its description in RNAcentral is "partial 16S ribosomal RNA". It matches the Rfam family "Bacterial small subunit ribosomal RNA", at positions 524 to 776 of the family's 1533-position model. The record is from RNAcentral.
UACGAAGGGGGCUAGCGUUGCUCGGAAUGACUGGGCGUAAAGGGCGCGUAGGCGGCUUAUACAGUCAGGCGUGAAAUUCCUGGGCUCAACCUGGGGACUGCGUCUGAUACGUAUAGGCUUGAGUAUGGAAGAGGGUCGUGGAAUUUCCAGUGUAGAGGUGAGAUUCGUAGAUAUUGGAAAGAACACCGGUGGCGAAGGCGGCGACCUGGUCCAUUACUGACGCUGAGGAGCGAAAGCAUGGGGAGCGAACAGG